RNAcentral lists this ribosomal RNA (391 nucleotides) under uncultured bacterium. Its description in RNAcentral is "bacterial SSU rRNA". It matches the Rfam family "Bacterial small subunit ribosomal RNA", at positions 29 to 417 of the family's 1533-position model. The record is from RNAcentral.
AGUGAACGCUGGCGGCAGGCCUAACACAUGCAAGUCGAGCGGCAGCGGGCUGUAGCAAUACAGUGCCGGCGAGCGGCGGACGGGUGAGGAAUACAUCGGAAUCUACCUUGUCGUGGGGGAUAACGUAGGGAAACUUACGCUAAUACCGCAUACGAACUACGGUUGAAAGCGGAGGACCGCAAGGCUUCGCGCGAUUGGAUGAGCCGAUGUCGGAUUAGCUAGUUGGCGGGGUAAUGGCCCACCAAGGCGACGAUCCGUAGCUGGUCUGAGAGGAUGAUCAGCCACACUGGAACUGAGACACGGUCCAGACUCCUACGGGAGGCAGCAGUGGGGAAUAUUGGACAAUGGGCGCAAGCCUGAUCCAGCCAUGCCGCGUGUGUGAAGAAGGCCU